Xenopus laevis (African clawed frog) is the source of this 1298-nucleotide long non-coding RNA. RefSeq lists it as uncharacterized. The transcript has 3 exons. The record is from RefSeq and is a predicted model, not a curated record. Lineage: Eukaryota; Metazoa; Chordata; Amphibia; Anura; Pipidae.
GACAGGGGCAUGAACGGCAGUGGGCCUAGGGGCACCCACGAUGUAAAUCCGGCCCUGCUUAGCUUGCACAUCAUUUGCUAUAAAAGUCUGUAAUACUUUUUUUAAAUUUCUAACUAAAUAACAUUAAGUGCUGUUAGGCAGUGUUUAAAGCCAGGAGCUCAUGUACGCAUGAUAAUCUUUGUCUUCAUUUCUGAAUUUAACUUUUGUUGCAGUUUGCCAUUUAAUCAAGUCAGCCAACCUCCACUGCCACCACACAGUUCACCUGUUUCAAUUAUAAGCGAGUGGAAACUAACUGCUAAAUUCUGGAAAAUCUUUAUGAAUUUUUUGGGUUCACGAAAAGGCCUCAGUUUGUAUAGAUGAUCGGCGCUCAGGACGCAACUUUGCAUUUUAGUGAAUUAGCGUACUAGUAACAUAUUUGUGCCUUAGGAAGUUGCGUGGAGUGUGCAAAGAUCUGAGGAAUUCUCCUCUAGAUCCUCUAGUCGGGCUGGGGGGACCGGGGGCCCACCGGGACUGCUGCCAAGGGCCCCCCGUCCCCCACUGUGACCACGGCUCAGCAAGGAAGCCGCUUGGUGCGCAAACCGGGAUUUUUUUUCAAAUAUAAAAAUUUAGAGAGGGGUUCUGGCCCGGCGGGGACCCAUGAGGGUCGGGGCCCACCGGGUAUUUUACCGGUGUCCCGCCGGGCCAGUCCGACACUGCCACAAUGGGAGGUUUUGGACCCCAAACCAGACAUUCAUACCCUCUAUAUGGAAUUUAAUGUUAAAUUCUUUAAGGGAAAAUUGCCUGAACUCGACCUGAAAUGGAGCAACAGAAUUUCUGUGUAAGUCAUGAACUAAACUUCAAGUUUGUACAUCACCAUUAAGAUGUAAUAUAAUGUAGGAAAACAAGUAUAAUUAAGUGGGAAAAAAAACCUCAUAGUAAUUUCAUAUUUUGUUUUGCAGAACGUCUGGACGUACUAUAAGGACUAGUACUGGAAAGCUCAAAAUUCGCCUUAAUAAGCCUCUUCUUGAUUUAAGGCCAAGGAGUACUACAGUGGAAAUCCUCCUGCAUGAAAUGAUACAUGUACAUCAAUUUCUCAGUAAUUCACGUGAUGAAGGCCAUGGAUCACUCUUUCACAGCCAUAAGAGGCGUAUUAAUAAAAUGACUGGAGCAAAUAUUAUGGCCCACCCUGAUUAUAAAGAGCAAUAUGAACUACUGAAGCGCCAUUGGUGGAGGUGCAACAGUCCCUGCGGAGAAUUAGAAAAAAGGAUUAUGAACCGUCCACCUUCUACCAAUUCUCCAAAUGUGGAGGAGAAUUUAUC